This 737-nucleotide ribosomal RNA is filed under the name uncultured bacterium. RNAcentral describes it as "bacterial SSU rRNA". It matches the Rfam family "Bacterial small subunit ribosomal RNA", at positions 60 to 787 of the family's 1533-position model. The record is from RNAcentral.
AGUCGAGGGGCAGCGGGGAGGUAGCAAUACUUCCGCCGGCGACCGGCGCACGGGUGAGUAACACGUAUGGAACCUGCCCGUAGCAGGGGGAUAAGCGGAAGAAAUUCCGUCUAAUACCGCGUAAUAACUCCGAGAGGCAUCUCUUGGGGUUUAAAGGGUAACACCGGCUACGGAUGGCCAUGCGGCGCAUUAGCUAGUUGGCGGGGUAACGGCCCACCAAGGCGACGAUGCGUAGGGGUUCUGAGAGGAAGGUCCCCCACACUGGUACUGAGACACGGACCAGACUCCUACGGGAGGCAGCAGUGAGGAAUAUUGGUCAAUGGGCGCGAGCCUGAACCAGCCAAGUCGCGUGAGGGAAGACGGUCCUAUGGAUUGUAAACCUCUUUUGUCGGGGAGCAAAAGACGUCACGUGUGGCGUUCCGAGAGUACCCGAAGAAAAAGCAUCGGCUAACUCCGUGCCAGCAGCCGCGGUAAUACGGAGGAUGCGAGCGUUAUCCGGAUUUAUUGGGUUUAAAGGGUGCGCAGGCGGAAGAUCAAGUCAGCGGUAAAAUUGAGAGGCUCAACCUCUUCGAGCCGUUGAAACUGGUUUUCUUGAGUGAGCGAGAAGUAUGCGGAAUGCGUGGUGCAGCGGUGAGAUGCAUAGAUAUCACGCAGAACUCCGAUUGCGAAGGCAGCAUACCGGCGCUCAACUGACGCUCAUGCACGAAAGUGUGGGUAUCGAACAGGAUUAGAUACCA